Molecule: ribosomal RNA, 457 nt
Filed under: uncultured bacterium
Lineage: Bacteria
Description: SSU rRNA
Rfam family: Bacterial small subunit ribosomal RNA
Source: RNAcentral
AGAAUCAACGCUGGCGGCGUGCCUAACACAUGCAAGUCGAACGAGAAAGUGGAGCAAUCCAUGAGUAAAGUGGCGCACGGGUGAGUAACACGUGACUAACCUACCUUUUAGUGGGGGAUAACCUAGGGAAACCUGGGCUAAUACCGCAUAAUACCUACGGGUCAAAGCAGCAAUGCGCUGGAAGAGGGGGUCGCGGCCGAUUAGCUAGUUGGCGGGGUAAUGGCCCACCAAGGCAGUGAUCGGUAUCCGGCCUGAGAGGGCGCACGGACACACUGGAACUGAAACACGGUCCAGACUCCUACGGGAGGCAGCAGUGGGGAAUUUGCGCAAUGGGGGAAACCCUGACGCAGCAACGCCGCGUGGAGGAUGAAGACCCUUGGGUCGUAAACUCCUUUCGAUCGGGACGAUAAUGACGGUACCGGAAGAAGAGCCCGGCUAACUUCGCGCCAGCAGCCGC